GAAAGACAGAGGGAGAGAGGGACAGAUUUUGUGUUAUAACCUUAGGGAUGCUUAGUGUGAGCACUCAGGUCGCAUCAGAGCAUCGGGCCGUAUAGUGUGAGACCCUGCAUUGUGACCUACGAACUUCUAACCCCUGCGAGUCAAUCGUACAGUUUGAGCAGGCGCUGAAUAACGCCACUGAAAAAAUCGCACAGCGUAUGCCCAAGGCUCCGCCGAUGCUGAUGGAAAUGGACAAAACGUUAAGAAACGCAAAGCCAGAGGAACAGACUAACACACACUAAUGCUGUUUUUGACCUCUAUUUAUGCCCUCAGUAGGCGUGACCUUACGGCCGCACUUCAAAGCACGGCCGCACUUCAAAGCACUCAGCCUUUUGACGCGUCACCUAAUCUUCGUUCUAAUGGCGCAACUCCUCCCAGUCAUUCAUAAUCCGACCUCCGCGUUUGCACUCGCUGCCUACAAGAGCUCCCAAAUGUGAACAUCACUGAUGUUCAUCGGAUUUGCAGAGUGACGACAACCCCCGCCAGCAUGUUAGAUAAAGGAUUUAAGUUAUAUGCUGCAUCACACAACUACGAAGAUUAAGCUUCUGGAUUCAUCGCCGGUGGUACUGACACAUAGCCAGUGCUCCUGUGUGGCAGGUGCUGUUAUGUGCAAUCACACAGUGGCACUGCUCUUCCAAACAGCACACUACUCACAACUCAGAGUGCCGGUUAUCCCCCUGUGCAUAGCUGCACCGAAUCUGAACAGCAAUGGCACAAGCCACGGACAGUGGGUGUGAAGCCAGGACCUAUCAACUCUAUGAUCUUCACUAAGCCGGUACCAAAUAGGAUGGCCCAGACUGGAGCACGGAGUGGAUUCUACAGAGGCACUGUGGGUCCAUUACCAGAUCCCUGACCUGACAAGCCCCUUGUGGAAAGUGCCUUUGGGCUGGUGAAGGAGGGCAGUGUUCUGCCAUGUCAGCAGCCGGUUUUGACAACCCGGUACAUCACACUACACCGUGAUGCACCACCAACACCGCACUUGCCUCUGGAGGGGUAUGACAUCAAGGAAACCCUGCUCGCUCAGACAGCCUGUGAUAUUUUCUCAAACCGCUGCGCUGAACAAGUUUCCAAAGAACAUGCUGUGUGACACAAUAAAUAUCCUUUAACCUGUUAACCUGUGGCUUCUGGAAGAAACUCGGUUACACACAAUCUUAUAUCUCUGGCAUGGCAUGGCAAGGCAAUAUCAGGUACAUGCAAUUUGAAACCUGACAUUCCAGAGCAAAGCAUGAAGCACACAGCACGUGGUCAACG
This is a long non-coding RNA of Oreochromis aureus, 1290 nucleotides long. NCBI's taxonomy places the organism in Eukaryota, Metazoa, Chordata, Actinopteri, Cichliformes, Cichlidae. The record is from Ensembl.